RNAcentral lists this ribosomal RNA (327 nucleotides) under Triticum aestivum (bread wheat). RNAcentral describes it as "partial small subunit ribosomal RNA". Lineage: Eukaryota; Viridiplantae; Streptophyta; Magnoliopsida; Poales; Poaceae. The record is from RNAcentral.
AUGAUGUUGCCCCUUCUUUGCCGGGGCGACGGUGUCGUCCGUGGACUCGGUUUCCGCAGCGGCGUCUUCGCCGGGGUACUUCCUCCCCUCCUCAGCCCGGGCGCAUCUAUCGGCCAGAACAUAGAGUUCAGCCACAUCCCUGACCUUGUUCAUUGCCAGCUCUUCACGCAUCUUGCAAUUGCGCACAUUCCGGUGGCAUGUGCUGAUCACGGCGGCAUGAUGAACGUCUGGAUGUUGUAUUGCACCCGGGUGAACCUUUGGAUGUACUUGCGCAGGCUUUCUCCUUCCUUCUGGGGAAUGAUGUGCAAAUCACUCGCUUGGCCAUGA